GAAGGUUGAUUCUGCCUUUUUAAUUGGCUUUAUUGAUAAUAUUAAAUAUAAAUUUUAGUGUGUUAUUUUUGUCUUAAAGAUGAUUAUUUUAUUUGUAGUUUUUAAUUUUGGUUAGUUUAUAUAAUUAUAGAACCAGUUAUUUUUUAAAAACUGUUGAAUAAUGUGCCAGCAAACGCGGUUACACAUUUAGUUUAAGUUAAUUUUUUUGGUGAACAUUAAUUUUUUUAUUUGAAAUUUAAUUUUAUUUUUUAGGGUGAAAUUUUAAAUUUAAAUUAUAUUUUUUGGUUAAUGAUUAUGUGAAAUUUAGAAUUUAAACUAGGAUUAGAUACCCUAUUAUUCUAAAUGUAAAUUUUUUACCAUAGUAUUAAUAGUUAUGAUCUUUAAAUUAAAAGAAUUUGGCGGUAAUUUAGUCUUUUCAGAGGAACCUGUCCUGUAAUCGAUAAUCCACGUUAUAUUUUACUUUAAUUAUUGUUUGUAUAUCUCUGUCAUUGAAUGUUUUAUUAGAAUAUUUUCUUGAAUUAUUAAUUUAAUUAAUGUCAGGUCAAGGUGCAACUAUAUUAAAGGUUGAGAUGGGUUACAUUUAAUGUUAUUAAUUGGAUUAUUAUUUGUUGU
RNAcentral lists this ribosomal RNA (612 nucleotides) under Cletoliturus lituripennis. Its description in RNAcentral is "partial small subunit ribosomal RNA". The record is from RNAcentral. Lineage: Eukaryota; Metazoa; Arthropoda; Insecta; Hemiptera; Coreidae.